Molecule: ribosomal RNA, 297 nt
Filed under: uncultured Pseudomonadota bacterium
Lineage: Bacteria; Pseudomonadati; Pseudomonadota
Description: uncultured proteobacterium partial 16S ribosomal RNA
Rfam family: Bacterial small subunit ribosomal RNA
Source: RNAcentral
AACGAACGCUGGCGGCAGGCCUAACACAUGCAAGUCGAACGCUCGUAGCAAUACGAGAGUGGCAGACGGGUGAGUAACACGUGGGAACCUUCCCUUUGGUUCGGAAUAGCUCAGGGAAACUUGAGGUAAUACCGGAUAAGCCCUUACGGGGAAAGAUUUAUCGCCAUAGGAUGGGCCCGCGUCGGAUUAGCUAGUUGGUGAGGUAACGGCUCACCAAGGCGACGAUCCGUAGCUGGUCUGAGAGGAUGAUCAGCCACACUGGAAUUGAGAUACGGUCCAGACUCCUACGGGUGGCAG